Molecule: ribosomal RNA, 253 nt
Filed under: uncultured bacterium
Lineage: Bacteria
Description: partial 16S ribosomal RNA
Rfam family: Bacterial small subunit ribosomal RNA
Source: RNAcentral
UACGUAGGUGGCAAGCGUUGUCCGGAUUUAUUGGGCGUAAAGCGAGCGCAGGCGGUUUCUUAAGUCUGAUGUGAAAGCCCCCGGCUCAACCGGGGAGGGUCAUUGGAAACUGGGGAACUUGAGUGCAGAAGAGGAGAGUGGAAUUCCACGUGUAGCGGUGAAAUGCGUAGAGAUGUGGAGGAACACCAGUGGCGAAGGCGACUCUCUGGUCUGUAACUGACGCUGAGGAGCGAAAGCGUGGGGAGCGAACAGG